Molecule: ribosomal RNA, 502 nt
Filed under: Salmonella enterica
Lineage: Bacteria; Pseudomonadati; Pseudomonadota; Gammaproteobacteria; Enterobacterales; Enterobacteriaceae
Description: partial 23S ribosomal RNA
Rfam family: Bacterial large subunit ribosomal RNA
Source: RNAcentral
CCGAAGGGAAACCGAGUCUUAACCGGGCGUUAAGUUGCAGGGUAUAGACCCGAAACCCGGUGAUCUAGCCAUGGGCAGGUUGAAGGUUGGGUAACACUAACUGGAGGACCGAACCGACUAAUGUUGAAAAAUUAGCGGAUGACCUGUGGCUGGGGGUGAAAGGCCAAUCAAACCGGGAGAUAGCUGGUUCUCCCCGAAAGCUAUUUAGGUAGCGCCUCGUGAAUUCAUCUCCGGGGGUAGAGCACUGUUUCGGCUAGGGGGCCAUCCCGGCUUACCAACCCGAUGCAAACUGCGAAUACCGGAGAAUGUUAUCACGGGAGACACACGGCGGGUGCUAACGUCCGUCGUGAAGAGGGAAACAACCCAGACCGCCAGCUAAGGUCCCAAAGUCAUGGUUAAGUGGGAAACGAUGUGGGAAGGCCCAGACAGCCAGGAUGUUGGCUUAGAAGCAGCCAUCAUUUAAAGAAAGCGUAAUAGCUCACUGGUCGAGUCGGCCUGCGCG